Rattus norvegicus (Norway rat) is the source of this 1584-nucleotide non-coding RNA. The record is from RefSeq and is a predicted model, not a curated record. NCBI's taxonomy places the organism in Eukaryota, Metazoa, Chordata, Mammalia, Rodentia, Muridae.
CAUGGAGACUGGCCAUCAUUCCUCCAACCCAGGACAGGCACGGGAGAAGUAUGGGCACCAAGAAUGGAGGGAAGUAUGUUGUAGAUGCUAGAUACUAUGUCAGCAGAAACACCAUACAGGUUCUGUACUUAUACAGAGACCCUGUCCCUUAGUUUGAGCUAUUCUUGCUCUAAAGCAGUGGUUCUCAAACUUCCUUUCAUACAGUUCUUCAUGUUCCGAUAAUUCUCAACCAUAAAAUUAUUUGUGUUACUACUUUACAACUUUAAUUUUGCUACUCUUAUGAAUUGUAAUAUAAAUACCUAUAUUUUCUCAUGGUCGUAACUAACCCGUGUGAAAGCAUCACUUGACCCCAAAGGUGUCACAACCCACAAUUUUUGAGAACCACUGCUCUAAAGGAAGAAUGUAACACAAAGCUUCCAUCCCUGGAUUUCAGUACAUACCGUUCCCUCUGGCUCGAUUAUAUUAACUCACUUAUAUUGUAAGGCUGGAAGAUGAUUCAAUCAGCAAAUCACCUGUUGCACAGGAAUGAGGACCCGAGUUCAGAUCCAAGCACCCAUGAACAAAACCUAGGCACAGUAUCAGCUAUCUGCAACCCCAGGGCUGCAGAGACUGAGGAAAGAAAUAUUUAAGGUUUGUAGUCCAGUUAUUUAUACUGUCCCUUGCAGCCUUUCUAUGAAUAUAAAUUAUUUGAUACUAAAGUUCUUAUUUGAUGUUAUUGCUAAGUCUACUCUUCUGGCAUGUUGCUUUGCCCAUAGUAGAUACUCAAAUAAGUGUUUUAAAAUAAAAGCAUUUAUUUUAAGUGUUCCUUCAUCCACCAAAUCCUUUCCAAUCUAUAAGUGUGAACAUUCCCUGUGAGUAUAUGAUUUUCCUUGGAUCAUUCCUAAAAUAUAGACUUACUAAUUCUUUGGUAUCAGCCCAUAAGAAACCUAUAAGAGCUCUAAGAUGAAGACUUUCUUAUGUGCAUGCUUGCUUGACUCUGUCCAUGUAUUUUCUCACUAUGCUCUUUCUGUAUGUUGCUGGCAUGCCUAUUCUCCUGUCAGUCCCAAUGCCCAUGUACCCUCACUUAUUGUAAGCCUCUCCAACUGCUGAAGGUCUGCAGCAGUCAUCAGUGUUUACCAGUCCUACUUUCAAGACGGAGACAUCAGUUCACAUUUGCAUUGUACCUUUCUUGUGAUUCUGAGGUCAUCCUAUCAUCUCUAAACUUGGACAUUUCUUUCUCGGGCAAUUUUCCUGUCUUUUCAAGGGUAUGUGUGCUCGCAUAAGCACACAUAUCUUAAAGUUUCAGAUUCUCCACUGAAGUCAUAGAAACCUGAGGAAGAAACACAUCCCAGGCUCCUCAGAAGGGAGAUCCUUAAUGUCCUGGUCAGUUAAUCGCAAGGACAGCAGAGAUCUGGUCUGAAAUCGACUGGUGAGUUAGCCUCGAAUUCCUGGCAAGGAGAUGCCAAAGACAUUUUUCAAGAUAGAGAAGGAGGAAAAACAUGGUAAUGGGCAAAAUGAGGGAAGACCUGAGCAGACACACUGAACAGAGAGUGAAUGCUACACUUGUGAAUGAGAAUCUGCAGUGGACAGAAGCGCGCAAGCCUU